Oreochromis niloticus (Nile tilapia) is the source of this 3956-nucleotide long non-coding RNA. NCBI's taxonomy places the organism in Eukaryota, Metazoa, Chordata, Actinopteri, Cichliformes, Cichlidae. The record is from Ensembl.
AAACUGCAGGCUGCAGCCCAUUAAAGGUGCUCCGCCCUCACCGUGAAUUCAUCACAGUAGCAUGGCGACUUUUUCAGCCAGCGAAUCACUAAGUGUGCUACAGAGGAAGUGAUGAAGCAGAUGGUCUUAGUCUGUCGUCCAGACGUUUAGUCGACGUCCAGACAAGAUGAAGACCCCAUCUAUCUCUCCACUCCUCGGUGUGUGUGUGCUGCUGCUGUCUGCACCGACUGUUUCUGCAGGUGAGUUGAUGGAAGUGAAAACAAUCAGUGAGACUCCAACAAGAACACAAAUACAUUUACUGUGUGUGUGUGUGUGUGUGUGUGUGUGCUCCAGUGUCUCUGUCUGUCAGUCCAAACCUUCAGCAGUUCUUCAGUGGAUCUUCUUCAGUGUAUCUGAGUUGUGUUGAUGAUGGACAGACAGCUGAUGGAUGGACAGUGAAGAGGACCAGAGGAGGACUCACUGAGGACUGUGGAGCAGCUGCUUCAGAGUUUAGUAGGAUUAACAGUUCCUUCUGUGUUUUCGGUCUCUCCACUGGUGGAAAUUUCCUGUGUGUAAGCUCAUCUGGACAUCAGAGUGAUGAAGUCUCCAUCAGUGUCUCAGGUACAGACAGAUGUUCCAGCUGUGUCUCUGUUUCUGUCUGUCUCUGUGUCACUCUGUUUGUGUCUCUGCUGGACAGAUAAAGAUGUGAUCCUGGAGAUUCCUGCACUUCCUGUCAUGACAGGAAGUGAUGUCACUUUGUACUGUACACCCAAAGAGGGAGAAAGACGAAAAUCUUACUUCUUCAGAGAUGAUGUUAAACUUGGAUCUGGACCUGAAGGAAAGUGGAAUCUCUCUAAAGUCCAGCGGUCUGAUGAAGGUCUCUACUCGUGUCAUACUGAUAUUCAUCCACGUUCUCCUCAGAGCAGACUGAGGGUCAGAGAUCUCUCUCCUGUAGAUCCUCCUCCCACCACAACUUCUCCUCUUCUUCUCACUACUUUCCCUCCCUCCUCUUCCUCUCCACACUCUUCCUCCUCCCUUCCUCUUUAUCUCCUGUUCCUCCCUGCAGUCCUGGUCCUGGUCCUGGUUGGAGGUGUGGUUCUGUGGAGGAAACAGAGAGUAACCAAGACUUCACCUGCUCCUGAAGAAGUGACCUAUGCUGAUAUCAACAUCAGACAGAAGAAGAAGAGGCGAGAGUACCCAGCUGAUCCAGAUGUUGUGUACUCAUCAGUGAGAGCAGGAAAAUGAAGAUAAACAGCUGGAGGAGCUUCACGUCUUUCCAACCUGAAUCUUUUAUUUUGAGUGUAACUCUAUUCUGCUAGAUAUGCUGUUUGCUCUGCUGUGUUUUACCACCUUGCUCGUCUCCUUUAUAGUGUAACUUCUUCCUUUCGGCACAAGUUUAGAUCUAUGAGUACUUGAACAGUGAGCCACAGAGCAUUUUAAAGAGUGCAUAUCUUGAGAAUCCACUUCUAAUUUGUUAUGAGAGUUUUAUCAACUCUGAGGUGUAAAAUUUUAAAAUCUGAAGCUCCUCUGGCAACUGGACCGUCUCCAGGUUUUAAACCACUGAGAGCAUCCUGGCUUUAAGAAAACAGAUGACCAAUAGGACUUGAGCUAAAUAUUCAAGUCACAACCCCUUGCUGAUCAUCUCUUUGUCUGUCAGCGCUAAGCAGAACAUCACAGCGUAGUGUACAGCAGUAUUCAAAAUGUUUUCUCUCAGUUUAACUGCAGGGCUGUGAGCUGCUGUUAUACAUCUGUCUGUAAAGAGGAAUGGAUGCAGCUGUCUUAGUCAUAGCCAUCAAACAGACAACCUGCUGCUACCUCAAUUAACUAAUUAAUUCAGUAUCAGAGUGAUGUGUUGAGCAGGUUUUAUAUGUUCCACAUCCAUGUUUCUUCUUCUCUGUGAUGUAAAUCUAAUCCUUGUAAAGUCAUCUGCAUACCUGUGUGUUUUCUGUGCUUGUUCACAGUCAUGCUUAGAGAAUUUAGAUUGCAAUGCAUCAACAACACCUGCAGUGUUGUUAAUAUGAUGAUUUAGUUAUCUCUUCCUUUGGCAGAAUACAUAAACUAUAAAAUACUUACUUUUUUGUCUAUGUUGUUAUUGAACAAUAGAGAUAAAACAAGAAAGUCGGGAAAAAGAGCAAAGAAAGACCUACUGUAAAAAUGUGGCCUUCGCUACCCCUGAAUUUAGACACAUCCUAUAUAUACUCACACAGACGGGAGGGGAACACAGCUGUGACUAAUCAGACAUGACAACACAGGGAGGACAAAACAGAAAACGGUGGCUGUGUCCAAAUUCAGGGGAAGGACGCCUCAAAUGCUGUAUUUCGAGGCAAUGACGUCACAGCAAUGCGACUAAGGUUGUCCCAAAUCAAAGAGUCCACCAAAUGUGGCAACAAAUGCAUCUUUGUUUCCUCGAAUUUGAAGGAUGGGUUGGGUGUAUCCUUCUUGUCCUACCAUAUCCCAGGAUUCACUGCUGGCGGUAAAGGAGGUUUUUUUCAGACAACGAUGGCAGUUGAAGCAGGAGAGGAAAACACUUUCAAAUUUAACCAUAUGAAAUCUGUUGAUAGUGUGACGUAAAGCAGUUUCCCCCCGGUUCUUUUGUAUUCCUCAGGCCUCCAGAGACUACACCGUCAUUUCAGAAAACUUUUAUUCAUCUUCUGUUACGCAUGCACCUUCCAGAAGGGGAGAUGUACAAGGCCGGUGUCCCUCUGCAGAUCUCAACCUCUUUGUUGGUUACAACCAGUUUUAUAGAUGCAUCCCCAUCGUAAAACCCACUUGGUGUGUCAUAAACUCAAAACAGUGUGUUUGUGUCUGUAUGUUCUAGCAUGUGAGUGCCUGCGUGUGCACGUACUUUUAGACUUAGAGCUUUUUAUUGUCAUUGUGCAGUUUCUUGCACAGUGGAAUUGGGUAGCCGGACCACAAAGGUGCAAAAAUAAUAAUAAGAGAAGCCUAUAUACAACAGGGGGGUAAAUAAAUAGAUCAAUAAAAUAACAUAAAAAGCAAUGUACAUGUAUACAUAUAUGUGAGUGAAACUAUAUACAUGGUGUAUGUGUAGGAAACACUGAAAGAGAAACAUUGUGGGUCUGUAUACAAGGGCAGUGAUAAAAUAUAAUAAACUAUACUUGUAACUGUGUGUGUGCACGUGAGUGUGUGUGCACGUGAGUGUGUGUGCACGUGCCAGUCAUAAAGAGGGCCAUUUCCACUCACACAAGCAACACCAAAUUCUUCUCUUUCCUAUCUCUUCCACACAGUCCUAGCAUCCCCCAACUGUAGCUUCCUGUCUCCUUUUAUGACAGGCAGACCCAGUGUCAAUAAAUUCCUCUGCCUCUACACAAUAACACACACUCUCACACUCUACAGCUAAACCAAAUUAAAAGACACCGACAUUCACAAAUCCGUUCCUAUUUCUCUUAUCUUCAGCUAGACCCUCUCAUCUAAGCAAAUGUAAGCACAUUAUUUUCUAAUUGUGUUUUCUUUUACUCACAGUACAAAGUUAAAUAUUUAUAUUGGUCGUAUUGUUAAAUGGCCUGUAAUUGUAUUAGACUUGUAGUCAAGAUCGCCUAAACUGAGAUCAAGACAAGACCAAGACCAGAGGGUAUCGAGACCAAGACAAAAAAGUCUUUAAACUGCAGCCAGAUGCUGCUUCGUUUAUGGGUGUCAGGCAUAUAUGUGUUUUUGCUUUUGUACUGUUUUUCUCCAUCUCUGUUUUUUACAUAAUGAUAUUAUCCUAUAUCCUCGCAUGUGAUUGGCCACAAUAUGGAGGGAUUGGAGCAUAGCUGAGCCACUGUGUGCGAGCUGAGCAGUGAAAGGAAAUUAAGUGAGGGUAGAAAUGACUGAAAAAUUAAUAGGCUCUGUUUUGAGUUUUGUUUAAAAAAAAAAAGACUUCAUAUAGGAAAAAAAUAUCACAUAUGCAGGACACUGUUAACUAGUUUUUAAUUAAGCAGCAAGGCAGAACAAGGUCAGGGCUGUAUCAAGACACGGGG